GACGAACGCUGGCGGCGUGCUUAACACAUGCAAGUCGAACGGAAAGUCCCUGCUUUCAGUGUACUCUAGUUGCGAACGGAUGGGUAACACGUGGGUGGUCUGCCCUUCACUUCGGGAUAAGCCUUGGAAACUGUGUCUAGUACCUGAUAGGAGCCAUUUUUAGUGGGAUGGUUGUAAAGUUUUUUCGGUUUAGGAUGAGCUCGCGGCCUAUCAGCUUGUUGGUGGGGGAAUGUCCUACCAAGGUGGCCACGGGUAGCCGGCCUCAGAGGGUGGACGGCCACCUUGGGACUGAGAUACGGCCCCGAUUCCUACGGGAGGACGAAGUGGGGAAGACUGACCAAUGGGCGCAAGCCUGAUGCAGAGAGGCCGCGUGGGGGAUGACGGUCUUGGGGUUGUAAAAUAAUUUCGCUAGGGACGAAGCUUUUUGUGACGGUACCUAGAUAAGAAGCACCGGCUAACUACGUG
RNAcentral lists this ribosomal RNA (465 nucleotides) under uncultured bacterium. RNAcentral's name for it is "partial 16S ribosomal RNA". It matches the Rfam family "Bacterial small subunit ribosomal RNA", at positions 28 to 507 of the family's 1533-position model. The record is from RNAcentral.